UACAGAGGGGGCAAGCGUUGUUCGGAAUUACUGGGCGUAAAGGGCGCGUAGGCGGCCUGUUAAGUCGAACGUGAAAUCCCCGGGCUCAACCCGGGAACUGCGUCCGAUACUGGCAGGCUUGAAUCCGGGAGAGGGAUGCGGAAUUCCAGGGUGUAGCGGUGAAAUGCGUAGAUAAUCUGGAGGAACACCGGUGGCGAAGGCGGCAUCCUGGACCGGCAUUGACGCUGAGGCGACGAAAGCCAGG
RNAcentral lists this ribosomal RNA (244 nucleotides) under uncultured bacterium. RNAcentral describes it as "partial 16S ribosomal RNA". It matches the Rfam family "Bacterial small subunit ribosomal RNA", at positions 524 to 764 of the family's 1533-position model. The record is from RNAcentral.